CAGUCGCCGCGGUAAUACGAAGGGUGCAAGCGUUAAUCGGAAUUACUGGGCGUAAAGCGUGCGUAGGCGGUGAGUUAAGUCUGCUGUGAAAUCCCCGGGCUCAACCUGGGAAUGGCAGUGGAUACUGGCUCGCUAGAGUGUGUCAGAGGAUGGUGGAAUUCCCGGUGUAGCGGUGAAAUGCGUAGAGAUCGGGAGGAACACCAGUGGCGAAGGCGGCCAUCUGGGACAACACUGACGCUGAGGCACGAAAGCGUGGGGAGCAAACAGGAUUAGAUACCCCGGUAGUCCCUGUCUCUUAUAC
This 301-nucleotide ribosomal RNA is filed under the name uncultured bacterium. RNAcentral's name for it is "partial 16S ribosomal RNA". It matches the Rfam family "Bacterial small subunit ribosomal RNA", at positions 509 to 807 of the family's 1533-position model. The record is from RNAcentral.